Molecule: ribosomal RNA, 253 nt
Filed under: uncultured bacterium
Lineage: Bacteria
Description: partial 16S ribosomal RNA
Rfam family: Bacterial small subunit ribosomal RNA
Source: RNAcentral
UACGUAGGGGGCAAGCGUUGUCCGGAAUCAUUGGGCGUAAAGCGCGCGUAGGCGGCCCGGUAAGUCCGUUGUAAAAGUCGAAGGCUCAACCUUCGAAAGCCGAUGGAUACUGCCGGGCUAGAGUCCGGAAGAGGCGAGUAGAAUUCCUGGUGUAGCGGUGGAAUGCGCAGAUAUCGGGAGGAACACCUAUGGCGAAGGCAGCUCGCUGGGACGUUACUGACGCUGAGACGCGAAAGCGUGGGGAGCAAACAGG